ACGAGCGGCGGACGGGUGAGUAAUGCUUAGGAAUCUGCCCAGUAGUGGGGGACAACAGUCGGAAACGGCUGCUAAUACCGCAUACGCCCUACGGGGGAAAGCAGGGGAUCUUCGGACCUUGCGCUAUUGGAUGAGCCUAAGUCGGAUUAGCUAGUUGGUGGGGUAAAGGCCUACCAAGGCGACGAUCCGUAGCUGGUCUGAGAGGAUGAUCAGCCACAUCGGGACUGAGACACGGCCCGAACUCCUACGGGAGGCAGCAGUGGGGAAUAUUGGACAAUGGGGGCAACCCUGAUCCAGCCAUGCCGCGUGUGUGAAGAAGGCUUUCGGGUUGUAAAGCACUUUCAGCGAGGAGGAAGGCCUUAAAGUUAAUACCUUUAAGGAUUGACGUUACUCGCAGAAGAAGCACCGGCUAACUCCGUGCCAGCAGCCGCGGUAAUACGGAGGGUGCAAGCGUUAAUCGGAAUUACUGGGCGUAAAGCGCGCGUAGGUGGUUUGGUAAGC
Molecule: ribosomal RNA, 501 nt
Filed under: Marinobacter sp. WH115
Lineage: Bacteria; Pseudomonadati; Pseudomonadota; Gammaproteobacteria; Pseudomonadales; Marinobacteraceae
Description: bacterial SSU rRNA
Rfam family: Bacterial small subunit ribosomal RNA
Source: RNAcentral